This 1108-nucleotide ribosomal RNA is filed under the name Staphylococcus aureus. Its description in RNAcentral is "partial 23S ribosomal RNA". It matches the Rfam family "Bacterial large subunit ribosomal RNA", at positions 1189 to 2297 of the family's 2925-position model. Lineage: Bacteria; Bacillati; Bacillota; Bacilli; Caryophanales; Staphylococcaceae. The record is from RNAcentral.
UAUUACCGAAGCUGUGGAUUGUCCUUUGGACAAUGGUAGGAGAGCGUUCUAAGGGCGUUGAAGCAUGAUCGUAAGGACAUGUGGAGCGCUUAGAAGUGAGAAUGCCGGUGUGAGUAGCGAAAGAUGGGUGAGAAUCCCGUCCACCGAUUGACUAAGGUUUCCAGAGGAAGGCUCGUCCGCUCUGGGUUAGUCGGGUCCUAAGCUGAGGCCGACAGGCGUAGGCGAUGGAUAACAGGUUGAUAUUCCUGUACCACCUAUAAUCGUUUUAAUCGAUGGGGGGACGCAGUAGGAUAGGCGAAGCGUGCGAUUGGAUUGCACGUCUAAGCAGUAAGGCUGAGUAUUAGGCAAAUCCGGUACUCGUUAAGGCUGAGCUGUGAUGGGGAGAAGACAUUGUGUCUUCGAGUCGUUGAUUUCACACUGCCGAGAAAAGCCUCUAGAUAGAAAAUAGGUGCCCGUACCGCAAACCGACACAGGUAGUCAAGAUGAGAAUUCUAAGGUGAGCGAGCGAACUCUCGUUAAGGAACUCGGCAAAAUGACCCCGUAACUUCGGGAGAAGGGGUGCUCUUUAGGGUUAACGCCCAGAAGAGCCGCAGUGAAUAGGCCCAAGCGACUGUUUAUCAAAAACACAGGUCUCUGCUAAACCGUAAGGUGAUGUAUAGGGGCUGACGCCUGCCCGGUGCUGGAAGGUUAAGAGGAGUGGUUAGCUUCUGCGAAGCUACGAAUCGAAGCCCCAGUAAACGGCGGCCGUAACUAUAACGGUCCUAAGGUAGCGAAAUUCCUUGUCGGGUAAGUUCCGACCCGCACGAAAGGCGUAACGAUUUGGGCACUGUCUCAACGAGAGACUCGGUGAAAUCAUAGUACCUGUGAAGAUGCAGGUUACCCGCGACAGGACGGAAAGACCCCGUGGAGCUUUACUGUAGCCUGAUAUUGAAAUUCGGCACAGCUUGUACAGGAUAGGUAGGAGCCUUUGAAACGUGAGCGCUAGCUUACGUGGAGGCGCUGGUGGGAUACUACCCUAGCUGUGUUGGCUUUCUAACCCGCACCACUUAUCGUGGUGGGAGACAGUGUCAGGCGGGCAGUUUGACUGGGGCGGUCGCCUCCUAAAAGG